CUGUAGUAGUGUGACUAGUUCUUAAAUCUACGGUGCCUCGGUUAUUCACAAUGAGGUUGCUGUAGUUUGACUGCAUCAUAACUCGAUCUCCUAACCAUACGGAGCCUUGAGGUAUAUGUUGACUACAGUAGGUUCAUUAUAGAAAUAAGAUGUACACCUAGAUAGGAUCUAUCAAUCUUAGUAGUAAAGGAGUAGUUUUAUGUGAUUUAUGAGAUUGAGUUCGGA
This 225-nucleotide long non-coding RNA is filed under the name Elaeis guineensis (African oil palm). RNAcentral describes it as "long non-coding RNA (EGUI_LNC010161)". The record is from RNAcentral. Lineage: Eukaryota; Viridiplantae; Streptophyta; Magnoliopsida; Arecales; Arecaceae.